AAAAUUGUCUUUAUUGUUUACCUUUUGUUAAAACAAUUCACAAAAAUACUCUGCUCUCAUGGAUAUAAAAUAACUGCAAACACAGGUUUAUAAAAAAAAUAUCUUGGUUAAAUAUCGGUGUGCAAGAAAAUUUUUAACAGCCUUCUUUGCUCAUAUUUUACCAAGGGUGCCAAUAUUAGCGGAGGGCACAGUACACACACACAACACACUUCCAUAAAGUCUCAGAAACUCUUCUGUGGAAAGAGAAAAACCCUGAUGAUGCAAUAAACAGCAUAGUGUAAUAUCAUAUGUGUAAUGUGUGUGUAUAUGUCAGGCUUAGCUCUCAACAUGUCUCCAGGGCUUUCAAGCAUAAUUAGGUAUCUGCUAGUGAUUAGAGGCUCCACGAUCUGUCCUCUAAAAAAAAAAAGCUUCACGUUAACAUAAUAUUAAAGCUGUCAGCUGAAAGCAGAUCUUUGUAGUGGGACGCACAUUCUCGAUCGCUACUUUUGUAGUAACCUUAAACUGUGCGUGAUAAAAGGCAUACACAUGAUUCAUGCAAGUUUGUUCUGGAUUGCUCACCAUUACCACCUCAUAAAAAUCCUCCCAUCUCUAAUUUAUGGUAUGGAGGUUGAAAGCCAGCCGUGUGACUAAUCACCUAACGUCAUGUUUGAGGAAGACUUUGGGUCCCACGCUGGUCCCACGCUAAGGCUAAAGCACUAAUCUUAUUAGUACUGUAUUUGUCAGAGAGUUGUAUCUAGUACUCUCUUUAGCUUACAUUGAGGCAAAGCUUUGCAAGAGGAUUAAAGGAACCUGUCAUUUUAGUAAGGAAUAAAACAUGACAGGAUCACCACCAUAGUCAUGAUAUCAAGAAACUCCAAAGAAAGUCCUCAGUCAUUAACACUUUCCUUUGGUGAAAAACUGGGACGCCUUCUAUAAAUGUUAACUAAACAUCUCCCUCCACCGAAGCUUCACGAGAUCAAUAAGUAUGCUAAACUUUAUUACAUAAAUAGAUCCCAGAUGCUGCAGUGUAAAUGUGCUUGUUGUAUGAACACAACUCAGCAGAGACAACAAAGCAAGCUAUGUUCCCAGUGUCCUAUGUUCCCAGUGUCCUAUGUUCCCAGGGUCCUAUGUUCCCAGGGUCCUAUGUUCCCAGUGUCCUAUGUUCCCAGUGUCCUAUGCUCCCAGUGUCCUAUGUUCCCAGUGUCCUAUGCUCCCAGUGUCCUAUGCUCCCAGGGUCCUAUGUUCCCAGUGUCCUAUGUUCCCAGUGUCCUAUGUUCCCAGGGUCCUAUGUUCCCAGUGUCCUAUGUUCCCAGGGUCCUAUGUUCCCAGGGUCCUAUGUUCACAGUGUCCUAUGUUCCCAGGGUCCUAUGUUCACAGUGUCCUAUGUUCCCAGGGUCCUAUGUUCCCAGUGUCCUAUGUUCCCAGGGUCCUAUGUUCCAGUUGUCCUAUGUUUCCAGGAUCUUAUGUUCCCAAUAGGACCAUAGUCCUAAGCCAUUGAUUCAAUAUUUGAUAAUAUCACUGGAUCUGUCACAUUACCGUAUGAUACAAUUUGAUUGACUAGCCUCUGCUAUGUGACUAACUUCGUUUAGAAUUAAUUAUAAAUGCUAAUAUUGGAUUCGGAGAUGAUCGGAGAUCUGGACGCAUCGAUCUCAAUCAUCCGAAGGCUGGACAUUGGUCCGAAGAUCCCACAGCUCCGACUGCAAAUGAAUAUUACGGGAUUGCCAGAGUGACUCAUAUGAACUCAGACUGUACUGAGAAAGAAAAACCGCUAAAACCCGACUGUUCAUACAAAUGUUUAUUUCAUACAAAUGUGUGUUGUGAGCCUCGAAACAUUUAUUAUAACAUAGCAUCAAGUGUAUAAAUGUUGGCGUUUCAGAGCAGUAAGUGAAGAGUGUCAGCGGUAACUGAAGUGUUUUGGAGUAGGAAUGACUUCAUUAUGCACAUAUACAGUAUAAAUACAAGCACGCGGUAAAAACAGAGGCACGGUCACAUUGUCCGAGAGGUUCAUACAAAGUACACCAGUGAUUAUAAUUAUUUUUUUUUAAAAAGCUGUUUUUGCAAAGAGGAUUUUGCUUUUGCCUCUCAUGAGGAGUACAAAAAUACCAUUCGCACAGUUUCUUUUAAUGGCAGAAAAAUACUAUACAAACCUCAGAUGGAACGAGAGAAAAAUCAAUAUCACAUUAGAAGAUAUAAUUAAUAAUUAAGCAGGCCAGCUGGAGGCUGAUGCUUUUAGUGAUCUAUCCUAAAGAGUGGUGUCUUUUUAUUAAUAUUUGAAGGCAGAUUCUCGAAGAAAUGAUGCUUUGCGUCUCCAUGGGGUGUAAGUGCAUGCAUAUUAAUCUUAUUAAUCCAAAACAGCAUUCAUAGAUGUUUUCUGCCAGACUUGAGAGCUGCUUUCACACUAGAUGUUUGCUUCAUCAAUUGCCGGCGCACAUCUUGGAUAUACACUAUAUGGCCAAAAGGACGUGGACACCUGAUCGGUCACACACUUCCCGUUCUGGAUGUAGUCCCACUUUGCUAUUAUAAUAUCCUCCACUCUUCUGGGAAAGCUUUCCACUAGAUUUUCGAGCGUGGCUUUGUCCAUUCAGCCACAAGAGCAUUGAUGAGGUCAGGCAUUGAUGUUGGGUGAGGAGGCCUGGGGUGCAGUUGAAGAUGAGGUCAGGGGUUUGUGUAGGCCAUUCGAGUUAUUCCUCUCCAGCCACGUCUUCAUAGCGCUCGCUUUGUGCACAGGUGCACUGUCAUGCUGGAGAAAGGAAAUCUACAGCUACAGCAAACAAAGGCAUUCUAAACAACCGUUUGCUUCCAGCUUUAUGGCAACAGAAACAAAGGUGAUGGUCAGGUGUCCACAUACUUUUGGCCGUAUGGUGUAUUUUAAGCAACUGCAACAUAGUCGUGUUAUACGGGGUUUUUGCUCCCUUUGCAACGGAGUGCUUGCAAAAGUAAUUUUCUGUCUUCUGUGACGAUUUUUAGCUGCAAGACAUACAGCGGAUCUGAAAAAGUCUACACACCCCUGUUAAAAUGGCAGGUUGUUGUGAUGUAAAAAAACGAAACCAAGAUAAAUCGUGUCAAUCUUUUCUACCUUCACUGUAAAAUUUUAACCUAUUCAUUAGUUUCAGGGAUAAAAAUAAUGUACAAUGACCUGGUUACAUGAGUGUGCACACACCUAGACUAAUACUCAGUUGAAGCACCUUUAGAGUUUAAUCACAGCAUUCAAUCUUUCUGGAUAAGAGUCAGUCAGUUUGGCACGUCUGGACUUAGAAAUAUUUUGCCAUUCUUCCUUGCAAAAGUGUUCUAACUCUGUCAGUCUGGUUGUGCGUCUCGUCUUCAGGUCACCCCACAGAUCUUUGAUUGGAUUUAGGUCUGGACUCCGGCUGGGCCAUUCCAAAACCUUGAACUUGUUUUAUUGAAGCCAUCCCUUUGUUGAUCUGACGGUUUGCCUUGAGUCAUUGUCAUGCUGAAAGGUGACAUUCCUCUUCAUCUUAAGUGUUUUAACAGAAGCGUUAAGGUUUUGCACCAAAAUCGACUGGUAUUUGGAGCUAUUCAUGAUUCCCUCCACCCCAAUUAACGCCCCAGUUCCUGUUGAAGAUAAAAAGCCCUACAGUACGAUGCUGCCUCUUCCAUGCUUCACCGUGGGGAUGAUGUGCUUUAGGUGAUGUGAUGUGAUGUGUUUUGGUAUUAUGGUCAAAAAUGUGUAUGUGGCUUUUCUAGUUGGAUGUUAAGAUGAUGUCAGGAAAAUCCUAUAGGAACAACUGUAUUUUAUUUAGGGUUAAUCAGUCACUUUAAAUGACCCCCCCCCCCCCCCCCCCACCCACCCACCUAAAAUGAUUAAUUAAAGUGAAUAACAAUAAUAAUGAAGUAACAAGUAAAAAUUUAACAAUAAAAGGUAGAAAAGGUUCUGAAAUGUUUUAUGCUGGUUUAAUUUUUUUUUUUUUUUUACACAUCACAAAAUGCUACUAGGGUGUGUAGACUUUUCAGAUCCUUUAAUAUAAACAUGUAUUUAUAUAUCGUGUUUACAUACAUAUAUAUAUAUACA
Molecule: long non-coding RNA, 4009 nt
Organism: Ictalurus punctatus (channel catfish)
Lineage: Eukaryota; Metazoa; Chordata; Actinopteri; Siluriformes; Ictaluridae
Source: Ensembl